CGGUUAAGACAAUUCAAAAUGUUUUUAUCAAUUGAUAAAUUGAUUACGCGUCUAUUAAUCAAUUAAUCAAUCGGUCGACACAAAUUUUGUCAAGUCUAAAUGUUUUUUUUUUUGUCCAAAAGAGUUUUGGGAGGUUGCCCGACGGCGGGGAAAGGAAGAGUUUUACUCGGUGUGGCCACUCACUUAAUUCGCACGUGUCUUUCUCAGCUUCUGAAUUCUGAGAGGAUGCUAGUGGAAGAAGGAACUAAGAAGCCCCUUCAGCUAAUUAUUGAUUUGUUGAUGAAAAUAAAUCUGUUGAGAUUGUGGUCCUAAAGUUGGACAAGUCUCUGCAUCCACUAAAGGCGGAAUGCUAUGCGUUAUUCUUUUUUACCUUGAGGCAUGAGGCGAAAGAUCAAUUGCUUGUUUGUAAUCUUAUCUCUCAACCACUUACCAUGGUGUUAAAUCAGAAUCUCUGUAAUGGAUUCUUGGGCCCUAUCUAUGGAAUACAUAGCGGCUGCUUUUUGAAUUACUUCUUCAGCAUAUAUUCCUAUGUGAGGUUAACAUGUAGUUUGGUGGUGUGACUUUGUUGCUCCAUUGUAUGUAAGUAUCUCUUGCAUCAUUUGUUUAUCAAAUACUUUUAUCCGGUAAUAUAUUUGUAUUUGGAUCGGGAUGUGGGUACCGUUUCAUAUGUGAGGGAUGGUGUGUCAAGCUAUACUAAUUUGCUUAUCAUUGUACAUUUCUACAAAGCUUCUGUACUAAUUAAUUAUGAGAGUAUUCCUCCAGCUAGUAUAUUUGUGGUGCAAAUGCGCGUUCUAUUUAUGCAAUAUUUUUACUCUUUUUUAGGCUAUAUUUUCUACUAUUAUUGAGUUCUUAUUAUAUUAAGACUUCUUUUUGCUUAGUUUUCGUGUGGAAUAAUGAUGUUUCAUGUCGAGAGAGAGUUAUUAUUGCUAAAAAUGUAAUAUAUAGAGAGGUGUAGACUAAUCUGCUAGUGGGUGGAUGGCCAUCUUAGUAUUUUGUCACCAUCAUUUUUAGAAUCCUUUGAGUGCAUUUUGCUUUUGCUCUUAUUGCUUCAGCAGAUAAGGCGAAACUAGAAUCUAUGUGAGAUGUGGCGAUGGCCGACGCACUAUGAGGUACCCCACAAGGUGUUCUGCCCCUCUUUACUUUCUAAUUUGUUACAAAAGUUAUAUUAAUGACAUACAUAUUGAGUCAAGUUUCUUCAUCUCAAACUGGGUUUAAUAUUAGUUUAGCAUGAAUACAAGCUAAGUAAAUAAUAGGAAUGUCAUUCAUACACAAUACUUGUACAGUGUACUUGUGAUGUUAGCGCGGUACAAUUGAUUAUGUGUUGGAUGAUGUUGGAGUAAUACGUGUGACAAAAUUGAAUGUUACAAUUAAACGUUGCUACUAGGACUAAUACUAAUAUUUUGGUUUGUCAGGAGGUCUUUGUUGGCAUGAAGCUCAUGCAGAUUGGAGGAUUGACCUUGGCUAGAGCAAGAAUGGAGGAAGGAAGAAUCCACAAUCCAUCCCCACAAAUUAGACCCGAGGCAACGGCUGGGAUCAUGAGGCCAGCCUUCGUUUUAUCAAUCCUAUGCCAAAGAUACACAAUCAAGCUCCCAACGCACAUAUCAAUUGCAAAGUAACCCCCCACAAGAAAAGGUACCGCCAUUGCCAUAGGCAGAGGAACCCAUUUCCCCAACUUCUCCGGCAUAGUGUCUCUCAACAAGUUGGCCGCCACAGCAAACGCGAAGAAUCCAUAACAUAGCUGCAAGCAGUGGUGAGGCAGGGCGGAGAAGCCUUCGACUCCAAGAAUUGCCAUAUUCCUAUAUAUGAGUGCGUAAGGGGCUUUGUAUUCCCCAUUUGGAUUCCCCACAUCAAAGGCUUUGUAAAAGAGGAAGAACGAGAGAGGCGCCACUAUGCAGCCAAUGGCAGUCCCGAUUCCCUGGCUGAUCAGCAUUGAUCUAGGCGAGGUUAGGGUGAGGUGGCCCGUCUUAAGGUCAUGCAUCAAGUCGGAGGAUAUGGAGACGAUGGACUUUAUCAGACCACACCCAAUUAGUCCAGCAACGACCCCGUUCUCCUUCCCUGACAUUGCAGCAAGCACGAAGAGAGCCAUUUUGCCGUAGUUGUAUGCCAUGUUCAUGUCAGUCAGACCGGCACCAUAAGCAUUACAGAAGCUCAAAGACGGCGCAAGAACGUAGGCGACCACGACAUAGUACCACUUGAGCUGAGGAAACAUGAUGGGGAUCACAAUAAUGGAAACCACAGAGAAAAUCGUGUACCCCACACAUGCUACCCAAAUGGGAAUGCUGUCUCGUAUGAAUACUUGGUUCCGACGAAGAUCGUCUAAGCUUUGAUUCUUGUCUUCUGAAACCAUACAAGAGGUUUCUUGUGAGCAAAAUAUACAGAAAAAUUCCAAGAAUCACAAAAAAGUUGCUUCUCCA
Molecule: long non-coding RNA, 2414 nt
Organism: Salvia miltiorrhiza (redroot sage)
Lineage: Eukaryota; Viridiplantae; Streptophyta; Magnoliopsida; Lamiales; Lamiaceae
Exons: 3
Source: RefSeq, a predicted model, not a curated record